This 96-nucleotide small nucleolar RNA is filed under the name Dasypus novemcinctus (nine-banded armadillo). RNAcentral describes it as "Z30 small nucleolar RNA (ENSDNOG00000044390.1)". It matches the Rfam family "Z30 small nucleolar RNA". Rfam says of the family: Z30 belongs to the C/D class of snoRNA which contain the C (UGAUGA) and D (CUGA) box motifs. Most of the members of the box C/D family function in directing site-specific 2'-O-methylation of substrate RNAs. The record is from RNAcentral. Lineage: Eukaryota; Metazoa; Chordata; Mammalia; Cingulata; Dasypodidae.
AUGCAAUGAUGAGUGAAGUAUAGUCUGACCUGGUACUGCCAUUGAUUCGGUGUGGGCUUUGACCAGGGUAUGAUCAUUAAUCUUCUCUCUGAGCUG